UGCUCCAACUAGCAGCCUCUAC
RNAcentral lists this unclassified non-coding RNA (22 nucleotides) under Mus musculus (house mouse). RNAcentral describes it as "oocyte_clustered_small_RNA377". The record is from RNAcentral. Lineage: Eukaryota; Metazoa; Chordata; Mammalia; Rodentia; Muridae.